This 74-nucleotide transfer RNA is filed under the name Sphaerodactylus townsendi. RNAcentral describes it as "tRNA-Ala". It matches the Rfam family "tRNA". Rfam says of the family: Transfer RNA (tRNA) molecules are approximately 80 nucleotides in length. Lineage: Eukaryota; Metazoa; Chordata; Lepidosauria; Squamata; Sphaerodactylidae. The record is from RNAcentral.
GGAGGUGCCGUGGCUCAGUGGAAGAGCCUCUGUUUGGCAUGCAUGAAGUCCCAGGUUCAAUUCUGGCAUCUCUG